AGUCGAGCGGUAACAGGGGAAGCUUGCUUCCCGCUGACGAGCGGCGGACGGGUGAGUAAUGCUUAGGAAUCUGCCCAGUAGUGGGGGAUAGCCCGGGGAAACCCGGAUUAAUACCGCAUACGUCCUACGGGAGAAAGCAGGGGAUCUUCGGACCUUGCGCUAUUGGAUGAGCCUAAGUCGGAUUAGCUAGUUGGUGGGGUAAAGGCCUACCAAGGCGACGAUCCGUAGCUGGUCUGAGAGGAUGAUCAGCCACAUCGGGACUGAGACACGGCCCGAACUCCUACGGGAGGCAGCAGUGGGGAAUAUUGGACAAUGGGGGCAACCCUGAUCCAGCCAUGCCGCGUGUGUGAAGAAGGCUUUCGGGUUGUAAAGCACUUUCAGUAAGGAGGAAAACCUUAUGGUUAAUACCCAUGAGGCUUGACGUUACCUACAGAAGAAGCACCGGCUAACUCCGUGCCAGCAGCCGCGGUAAUACGGAGGGUGCAAGCGUUAAUCGGAAUUACUGGGCGUAAAGCGCGCGUAGGUGGUUUGGUAAGCGAGAUGUGAAAGCCCCGGGCUUAACCUGGGAACGGCAUUUCGAACUGUCAGACUAGAGUGUGGUAGAGGGUAGUGUAAUUUCCUGUGUAGCGGUGAAAUGCGUAGAUAUAGGAAGGAACACCAGUGGCGAAGGCGGCUACCUGGGACCAACACUGACACUGAUGUGCGAAAGCGUGGGGAGC
Molecule: ribosomal RNA, 719 nt
Filed under: Marinobacter nauticus
Lineage: Bacteria; Pseudomonadati; Pseudomonadota; Gammaproteobacteria; Pseudomonadales; Marinobacteraceae
Description: bacterial SSU rRNA
Rfam family: Bacterial small subunit ribosomal RNA
Source: RNAcentral